This 69-nucleotide transfer RNA is filed under the name Napialus hunanensis. RNAcentral's name for it is "tRNA-Ser". Lineage: Eukaryota; Metazoa; Arthropoda; Insecta; Lepidoptera; Hepialidae. The record is from RNAcentral.
AAUUAAUGAGCUUGAUUAUAAGCUUAUGUUUUGAAAACAUAUCAUAGAAAAAAUAAUUUCUAUUAAUUU